RNAcentral lists this long non-coding RNA (2456 nucleotides) under Daphnia pulex (common water flea). Its description in RNAcentral is "uncharacterized LOC124197286". The record is from RNAcentral. Lineage: Eukaryota; Metazoa; Arthropoda; Branchiopoda; Diplostraca; Daphniidae.
CUAAUAAUCGUCUUAAACUAAUCUUUCAUCAUUUCACCAUAUAGCUAGGCUUUCCCUUUUACUACCGCCAAUUAUGUAACUGUGACAUUUAACAUUUGGCAUUAGGGUGAAGAAAUCUGUAACUAAGAAACAGCUAGCUGUUUUCACCUGUACACUCGUGCUAAGUUUAUUUAUUUGGCCAUUGAGAUCUGACAAAUGAAUCCCAUUUUGCAUAGUACCAGCCGAUAAUCCUGGCAAAAUAUUUUCUAUUCAAUUUAAAUCUCCCUUCAGGACUGCCUCCCUCUCGGUCAAAUCCUUUUGAUCACCCUGUUCUCCUUGUAGGAAAGACGAGAGCGAGCCUACAUAGAUCUCUUGACAUAACGUGAAAAGAAUAUUGACCCUGACCCCUUCUUUUUUUCCUACCUAGAUCUUAUGUGCUUCGGUAGCUAUCCGCAUUCUGAUCCCGGUAUCCUCUUCUAUUUAAUCAGUUCUGACGCCGUUGUUUACAAUCGACUCCCAGAUGAUAAAAAUGCUUACUUUGACUUGCUGACUGAACUUACUUUACCACUUAUAUCGAUAAACAGCAUCCCGUUUGGAAUGGAGAAACUUUGGAUGUCGGUCGAGUUACGGAUUUCUUUCCUCCCAUAAUUUUCAAAAUGUCCUCGUGUACGCCCAUGUGAAUGUGGGUGUAUUCACGAGGACACCCUUUACCCUAUCCUGUCUGGUGUAAUUUAAUUCUUCAGCGGAUGGAUGGAGCAACUGUAGAUGCCUGGCUGCAUUUCCCAGGUGCCAAGGACAUAAAUGAAGCGUUGACGUCACUUGGAGCUGCAUUUAUUUGAAAAUUGGGAGGGAUAUUUCCUGCCUGUCAGUUCCUUGUUUAAAGUUUCAUAGUGUCAGUGAUAUGAGUCGGUUCAUGUUUACUGAUAUAGUUUAUGGUGUUUCAGAUUCAACAGGGUCAGGUUAUGGGAGUCGGUAUGACGUUAUUGGGGCACUAGGAUCUAGGAUGUUUGCUUGUGUAUGAGAUGGGCCUGUAUCAUUCCUUGUUGGACAAAUUAAUUGUGAGUGCCUUGGAUAUGACCAAAUGCCAAUGCUGACUGGUGAUGAUGGCUCUUUUUCGACUUUUUGGCUGACAUUUUUCUUUUUGGUGUGAAAUGCUUGGAGCGGAUGGAGCCCUGGCUGUUCUGUGAAUCAGCUCAACUGAUGGUUUGAUUCUACAUAAAACAGAAUAAGCAUUUCAAACUUAAUUUCAAACUUAAUUUCAAACUUAAUUUCAAACUUAAUUUCAAACUUAAUUUCAAACUUAAUAACGAAAUCACGGUAAUUGGUAAAAUCUGACAUGAUAAGUGGCCUAGUGUAAUAUUUGUGAGUAAUCGUUUGUCUAGAAUAAAACACAUCGCGUCAGUAUUGCAAUGUACAAACUGUUAUUAAGUUUUAAUUUUUAUUGAGACAUGCUCUUCGACUUGUCUCCUCAGUAGAUUUUUCAAAUGCUUAGUCAUCUUAAUUACAAAUUGUUGACAUUUUCAUUCUGUUUUCAGGCCCCCGCCGCAAUUCCAUGGUGGUAGCGAGAGAUUGCUGAAAUUCAACACUAUUAAUACAUGAUGUAGUUAGAUAAAUUACAAGUGCGCAUAUCUAGAUUAGAUGUAUGCUUACAUCUAUCUCUAUGUUCAAGAGACAAUUUCAAGUGUAUAGUAUAUACUGUACACUCUUCACUGAUAACUGUUUAAUUAAUCUUUUAGAUCAUAGACGUCAACCUCAUUGAUGACACAAAUUAUAAACAAGGUGACUUAAUUUUUGUUUCAUUUACAGGUACUAAAUUGGAAUGACAAACUUUAUGAGAAGUCUUGUCCUUUCAAGAAAAAGGACAUCAGAACAUUUGGAUACCCAACCUUCAACUUUUGGUUGCAGUUCAGGACUGAGACUAACAAGUCCAGCAAAAUCAUCGCUUAACAGCUGACCCUGACGGUGCCAAGCAAACACCAUAAGCCGAAGAUAAAGACAACGUAAAAGUUCCCAAGUCUAAGGAUGUCUGUCGUGGCAAACUGAUUGCGUAGCAACUGGAGAAAGUGUUUGUCGAGCAAACGAACUGUGAUGUCGAACUCUUGUUCGAAGACGAGGAGGUAAUCGAAGGCCAUAUUUCCAUCUUGGUUGCCAGAAGUCCCGUUUUCUCUGCCAUGUUUUACCACAACCUUCAAAAAUCCAUGACGUGCAAAGUCUUCGUCCAAGACAUCCGGCCACAGAUUUUCAAAGAGAUGCUACAGUACAUUUACUCCGGCCAGACUAUGGCUCCUUUGACGGACGCCAUCGCUCAACCUCUGUUCGUACUUUCAGUCAAAUACGAUAUCGAGGACCUUAAAGAAAAGUGUGUCCAUUAUCUACUGAAAAGCAUCCGGACGAGUAAUGCAGUUGACUUGUUGGUCUGGGCAAAUCUUCAUUCGAUGGAUAAAAUCCAAGAAUCAACUCUUGACUUUGUGGCCAUA